UACAGAGGUCCCAAGCGUUGUUCGGAUUCAUUGGGCGUAAAGGGUGCGUAGGUGGCGUCGUAAGUCGGGUGUGAAAUCUCGGGGCUUAACUCCGAAACUGCAUUCGAUACUGCGGUGCUUGAGGACUGGAGAGGAGACUGGAAUUUACGGUGUAGCAGUGAAAUGCGUAGAGAUCGUAAGGAAGACCAGUGGCGAAGGCGGGUCUCUGGACAGUUCCUGACACUGAGGCACGAAGGCCAGGGGAGCGAACAGG
This 253-nucleotide ribosomal RNA is filed under the name uncultured bacterium. RNAcentral's name for it is "partial 16S ribosomal RNA". It matches the Rfam family "Bacterial small subunit ribosomal RNA", at positions 524 to 776 of the family's 1533-position model. The record is from RNAcentral.